UUCUCUGAUUUACACUAGCUGAG
RNAcentral lists this microRNA (23 nucleotides) under Gallus gallus (chicken). Its description in RNAcentral is "gga-miR-1756b". Lineage: Eukaryota; Metazoa; Chordata; Aves; Galliformes; Phasianidae. The record is from miRBase by way of RNAcentral.